This 784-nucleotide ribosomal RNA is filed under the name uncultured delta proteobacterium. Its description in RNAcentral is "bacterial SSU rRNA". It matches the Rfam family "Bacterial small subunit ribosomal RNA", at positions 70 to 835 of the family's 1533-position model. The record is from RNAcentral. Lineage: Bacteria; Deltaproteobacteria.
AAAGGGGGCAACCCCCGGUACAGUGGCGCACGGGUGAGUAACACGUGGAUGACCUCCCCCCGAGUGGUGGAUACCCUGCCGAAAGGCGGGCUAAUACAGCAUAAGACCACGGCGCUACGGCGCUGGGGUCAAAGCCGGCCGCUGUUCACACGCUGGCGCUUGGGGAUGGGUCCGCGGCCCAUCAGCUCGUUGGCGAGGUAAUGGCUCACCAAGGCGACGACGGGUAGCUGGUCUGAGAGGACGAUCAGCCACACUGGAACUGAGACACGGUCCAGACUCCUACGGGAGGCAGCAGUGGGGAAUCUUGCGCAAUGGGCGAAAGCCUGACGCAGCGACGCCGCGUGGGCGAUGAAGGCCUUCGGGUUGUAAAGCCCUGUGGGGCGGGACGAACAAGCUUGGGGUGAACAAUCCCGAGCUCUGACGGUACCGCCUUAGCAAGCACCGGCUAACUCUGUGCCAGCAGCCGCGGUAAGACAGAGGGUGCGAACGUUGCUCGGAAUUACUGGGCGUAAAGCGUGUGCAGGCGGUCCCGUGCAUCGGAUGUGAAAGCCCGGGGCUCAACCCCGGAAGUGCACCCGAGAUGGCGGGACUGGAGUGGCGGAGAGGAGCGCGGAAUUCCCGGUGUAGAGGUGAAAUUCGUAGAUAUCGGGAGGAACACCAGCGGCGCAGGCGGCGCUCUGGACGCACACUGACGCUGAGACACGAAAGCGUGGGGAGCAAACAGGAUUAGAUACCCUGGUAGUCCACGCCGUAAACGAUGAUGACUGGGUGUCGCGGGUAUUGA